RNAcentral lists this ribosomal RNA (301 nucleotides) under uncultured bacterium. Its description in RNAcentral is "partial 16S ribosomal RNA". It matches the Rfam family "Bacterial small subunit ribosomal RNA", at positions 509 to 807 of the family's 1533-position model. The record is from RNAcentral.
CAGUCGCCGCGGGAAUACGGAGGGUGCAAGCGUUAAUCGGAAUUACUGGGCGUAAAGCGCACGCAGGCGGUUUGUUGAGUCAGAUGUGAAAUCCCCGAGCUUAACUUGGGAACUGCAUUUGAAACUGGCAAGCUAGAGUCUUGUAGAGGGGGGUAGAAUUCCAGGUGUAGCGGUGAAAUGCGUAGAGAUCUGGAGGAAUACCGGUGGCGAAGGCGGCCCCCUGGACAAAGACUGACGCUCAGGUGCGAAAGCGUGGGGAGCAAACAGGAUUAGAUACCCGGGUAGUCCCUGUCUCUUAUAC